Molecule: non-coding RNA, 82 nt
Organism: Stygiomarasmius scandens
Lineage: Eukaryota; Fungi; Basidiomycota; Agaricomycetes; Agaricales; Campanellaceae
Source: the annotation of a GenBank genome assembly
UCCCUGGUAGUAUAUCGGUUAGUACACGCGCCUGUCAUGGGUAUUGCCGCGCGAAAGCUGGGUUCGACUCCCAGCCAGGGAG